RNAcentral lists this long non-coding RNA (513 nucleotides) under Pan troglodytes (chimpanzee). Its description in RNAcentral is "long non-coding RNA NONPTRT016485". The record is from RNAcentral. Lineage: Eukaryota; Metazoa; Chordata; Mammalia; Primates; Hominidae.
GCUGGCACAGGAACUUGGGAUCUGUCUCCUCUUUCGCCUCCUGCACCUUGGGAGCCCCGGGCUACUCUCUCACAGCCCUUGUUGCCCUGCGAUCUGUAGGUCCUUGGGGACGCAUAGUUAAGGUGCCAGGACAUCCUGGAAGCUGGGAAAUGAUUGUUGCAGUGUCAGGACCAAGGUCAAAUGAGUUAUAGCCAAGUCUACAGUAAGAUGUGGCAGUAUUCUGUUUUGAAGCCGGGACCAGGAUUGGCAAGCUUGCCACUUGGUAAAGUGCUCACCCUCUGAAGAUGUCUUCCUUGGUCUUUGCCUCCAGCUGGGUGUCACAAACUCUGAACUGGAUUCCAAGGCUUUCAUGAAUGCACUUAUGUUUGCUGUGGCAGCUGCAUUAUGUCGUGGGGGAUGUGGAUGCAGAACCUCACAUUCUGUCGUCUUGCUUAUGUUACUCUCCUUUAUGUUUCACUUUCUCAAAUGAAUGUCAAGCAGGUGAUUUUCAGAUUCAAAAGUUCUAAAAUAAAU